AUAAGACGGCGAAAGCCGUUCUAAUACCGCAUGAGACCACACUACAGGAUGGUAGAGGGGUCAAAGGAGCAAUCCGGUGAGAGAUGGGCUCGCGUCCGAUUAGGUAGUUGGUGAGGUAACGGCCCACCAAGCCAAUGAUCGGUAGCCGGCCUGAGAGGGUGAACGGCCACAUUGGAACUGAGAGACGGUCCAAACUCCUACGGGAGGCAGCAGUGGGGAAUAUUGGGCAAUGGGGGAAACCCUGACCCAGCAACGCCGCGUGAGGGAAGAAGGUUUUCGGAUUGUAAACCUCUGUUCUUGGUGAAGAGAAGAAGACGGUAGCCAAGGAGGAAGCCCCGGCUAACUACGUGCCAGCAGCCGCGGUAAUACGUAGGGGGCGAGCGUUGUCCGGAAUGAUUGGGCGUAAAGGGCGCGUAGGCGGCUGUUCAAGUCCGUAGUGGAAGUCCAUUUUUCAAGGGUGGAAGUGCUAUGGAAACUGAGCAGCUUGAGUGCAGGAGAGGUUAUCGGAAUUCCCGGUGUAGCGGUGAAAUGCGUAGAGAUCGGGUGGAACACCAGUGGCGAAGGCGGGUAACUGGACUGCAACUGACGCUGAGGCGCGAAAGUGUGGGGAGCAAACAGGAUUAGAUACCCUGGUAGUCCACACCAUAAACGAUGAAUGCUAGGUGUAGGGGGUAUCGACCCCUUCUGUGCCGGAGUAAACACAAUAAGCAUUCCGCCUGGGGAGUACGGUCGCAAGAUUAAAACUCAAAAGAAUUGACGG
RNAcentral lists this ribosomal RNA (760 nucleotides) under uncultured anaerobic bacterium. Its description in RNAcentral is "bacterial SSU rRNA". It matches the Rfam family "Bacterial small subunit ribosomal RNA", at positions 143 to 916 of the family's 1533-position model. The record is from RNAcentral.